Molecule: ribosomal RNA, 590 nt
Filed under: uncultured bacterium
Lineage: Bacteria
Description: partial 16S ribosomal RNA
Rfam family: Bacterial small subunit ribosomal RNA
Source: RNAcentral
UGGGGAAUAUUGCACAAUGGGCGCAAGCCUGAUGCAGCCAUGCCGCGUGUGUGAAGAAGGCCUUCGGGUUGUAAAGCACUUUCAGCGAGGAGGAAGGUGGUGAGCUUAAUACGCUCAUCAAUUGACGUUACUCGCAGAAGAAGCACCGGCUAACUCCGUGCCAGCAGCCGCGGUAAUACGGAGGGUGCAAGCGUUAAUCGGAAUUACUGGGCGUAAAGCGCACGCAGGCGGUUUGUUAAGUCAGAUGUGAAAUCCCCGGGCUCAACCUGGGAACUGCAUUUGAAACUGGCAAGCUAGAGUCUCGUAGGAGGGGGAUAGAAUUCCAGGUGUAGCAGGUGAAUGCGUAGAGAUCUGGAGGAAUACCGGUGGCGAAGGCGGCCCCCUGGACGAAGANUGACGCUCAGGUGCGAAACGCGUGGGGAGCAAANCAGGAUUAGAUACCCUGGUAGUCCACGCUGUAAACGAUGUCGAUUUGGAGGUUGUGCCCUUGAGGCGUGGCUUCCGGAGCUAACGCGUUAAAUCGACCCGCCUGGGGAGUACGGCCGCAAGGUUAAAACUCAAAUGAAUUACGGGGUCAUAGCUGUUUCCUG